This 66-nucleotide transfer RNA is filed under the name Apalone ferox (Florida softshell turtle). RNAcentral describes it as "tRNA-Cys". The record is from RNAcentral. Lineage: Eukaryota; Metazoa; Chordata; Testudines; Trionychidae.
AACCAUGUAGUGAAAUUCACACCGGAUUGCAAAUCUGGAAAUACACAUUUAUUGGUGUCUUGGUUU